UACGGAGGGGGCUAGCGUUGUUCGGAAUUACUGGGCGUAAAGCGCACGUAGGCGGUGACGCAUGUCAGAUGUGAAAGCCCUGGGCUUAACCUAGGAAUUGCAUUUGAAACUGCGUCGCUAGAGGCCGGAAGAGGGUAGUGGAAUUCCCAGUGUAGAGGUGAAAUUCGUAGAUAUUGGGAAGAACACCAGUGGCGAAGGCGGCUACCUGGUCCGGUUCUGACGCUGAGGUGCGAAAGCGUGGGGAGCAAACAGG
RNAcentral lists this ribosomal RNA (253 nucleotides) under uncultured bacterium. Its description in RNAcentral is "partial 16S ribosomal RNA". It matches the Rfam family "Bacterial small subunit ribosomal RNA", at positions 524 to 776 of the family's 1533-position model. The record is from RNAcentral. RNAcentral also lists the same sequence under 1 other name.